RNAcentral lists this ribosomal RNA (417 nucleotides) under uncultured bacterium. Its description in RNAcentral is "bacterial SSU rRNA". It matches the Rfam family "Bacterial small subunit ribosomal RNA", at positions 362 to 776 of the family's 1533-position model. The record is from RNAcentral.
UAUUGGUCAAUGGACGCAAGUCUGAACCAGCCAUGCCGCGUGCAGGAAGAAGGCUCUAUGGGUUGUAAACUGCUUUUGUACGGGAAGAAAUUAUCCCUCGUGAGGGAGCUUGACGGUACCGUAAGAAUAAGGAUCGGCUAACUCCGUGCCAGCAGCCGCGGUAAUACGGAGGAUCCAAGCGUUAUCCGGAAUCAUUGGGUUUAAAGGGUUCGUAGGCGGUUUUGUAAGUCAGUGGUGAAAGUUUGCAGCUUAACUGUAAAAUUGCCAUUGAUACUGCAAGACUUGAAUGUUUGUGAAGUGGCUAGAAUAUGUAGUGUAGCGGUGAAAUGCUUAGAUAUUACAUGGAAUACCAAUUGCGAAGGCAGGUCACUAACAAAUGAUUGACGCUGAUGGACGAAAGCGUGGGGAGCGAACAGG